Molecule: small nucleolar RNA, 131 nt
Organism: Talpa occidentalis (Iberian mole)
Lineage: Eukaryota; Metazoa; Chordata; Mammalia; Eulipotyphla; Talpidae
Product: small nucleolar RNA SNORA70
Exons: 1
Source: RefSeq, a predicted model, not a curated record
UUGCAACCAGUUAAGUCAAGUGUACUCUUCCCUGUGGGGCCUGGUGUGCAAUGGCUGCAAAGAGCAGCCCCUUGGUCGUGAUGGCAGCCUAUUGUUUGCAUGGGUUGCCCUAAGGUACCUCGUAGACAGCC